Molecule: non-coding RNA, 24 nt
Filed under: Arabidopsis thaliana (thale cress)
Lineage: Eukaryota; Viridiplantae; Streptophyta; Magnoliopsida; Brassicales; Brassicaceae
Source: RNAcentral
GACGCCCGGAGCACGCUGAUGCCG